Chlorocebus sabaeus (green monkey) is the source of this 119-nucleotide non-coding RNA. The record is from Rfam. NCBI's taxonomy places the organism in Eukaryota, Metazoa, Chordata, Mammalia, Primates, Cercopithecidae.
CUUAUCGACCAUACCACCCUGAGUACACCCGAUCUCUUCUGACCUUGGAAGCUAAGCAGGGUUGGGCCUGGUUAGAACUUGGAUGAAAGAUCACCUGGGAAUACCAGGUGCUGUAUUUC